AGACCUUCUAUGUGUUUCUUUGUCUCUUUCUCUUUACUAUAGCCUCAUAUCCAUCGUGGCUCAUUUCCUGCUUAGUGCUCUGCCCAUCUGGCCAUUGCAACCCACACCCCAAGUCUCCAUGAAAAAGAACCAUCCAGCCUACAAAACUCAGAGGAAGAUGGAAUAA
RNAcentral lists this long non-coding RNA (166 nucleotides) under Cricetulus griseus (Chinese hamster). Its description in RNAcentral is "lncRNA (ENSCGRG00000025254.1)". Lineage: Eukaryota; Metazoa; Chordata; Mammalia; Rodentia; Cricetidae. The record is from RNAcentral.